Molecule: unclassified non-coding RNA, 337 nt
Filed under: soil metagenome
Description: partial contains 5.8S ribosomal RNA, internal transcribed spacer 2, and large subunit ribosomal RNA
Rfam family: 5.8S ribosomal RNA (bases 1-120)
Source: RNAcentral
GAUGAAGAACGCAGCGAAAUGCGAUAAGUAAUGUGAAUUGCAGAAUUCAGUGAAUCAUCGAAUCUUUGAACGCACAUUGCGCCCCAUGGUAUUCCGAGGGGCAUGCCUGUUCGAGCGUCAUUACACCACUCAAGCUAUGCUUGGUAUUGGGCGUCGUCCUUAGUUGGGCGCGCCUUAAAGACCUCGGCGAGGCCACUCCGGCUUUAGGCGUAGUAGAAUUUAUUCGAACGUCUGUCAAAGGAGAGGAACUCUGCCGACUGAAACCUUUAUUUUUCUAGGUUGACCUCGGAUCAGGUAGGGAUACCCGCUGAACUUAAGCAUAUCAAUAAGCGGAGGA